This 91-nucleotide microRNA precursor is filed under the name Ochotona princeps (American pika). Its description in RNAcentral is "miRNA (ENSOPRG00000022546.1)". It matches the Rfam family "Eukaryotic large subunit ribosomal RNA", at positions 2142 to 2231 of the family's 3401-position model. The record is from RNAcentral. Lineage: Eukaryota; Metazoa; Chordata; Mammalia; Lagomorpha; Ochotonidae.
UUUAUUUAAACAAAGCAUCGCGAAGGCCCGCGGCGGGUGUUGACGCGAUGUGAUUUCUGCCCCAGUGCUCUGAAUGUCAAAGUGAAGAAAU